ACAGAGGGUGCAAGCGUUAAUCGGAAUGACUGGGCGUAAAGGGUGCGUAGGUGGUUAUUUAAGUUUCAUGUGAAAUCCCCGGGCUCAACCUGGGAACUGCAUGGGAAACUGAGUAGCUAGAGUAGAGUAGAGGUGAGUGGAAUUCCCGGUGUAGCAGUGAAAUGCGUAGAGAUCGGGAGGAACAUCAGUGGCGAAGGCGACUCACUGGACUCAUACUGACACUGAAGCACGAAAGCGUGGGGAGCAAACAGG
RNAcentral lists this ribosomal RNA (252 nucleotides) under uncultured bacterium. RNAcentral describes it as "partial 16S ribosomal RNA". It matches the Rfam family "Bacterial small subunit ribosomal RNA", at positions 525 to 776 of the family's 1533-position model. The record is from RNAcentral.